Molecule: ribosomal RNA, 487 nt
Filed under: uncultured bacterium
Lineage: Bacteria
Description: bacterial SSU rRNA
Rfam family: Bacterial small subunit ribosomal RNA
Source: RNAcentral
AGAGUUUGAUCAUGGCUCAGAACGAACGCUGGCGGCAGGCCUAACACAUGCAAGUCGAGCGAACCCUUCGGGGUUAGCGGCGGACGGGUGAGUAACGCGUGGGAACGUGCCCUUUGGUACGGGAUAGCCCUGGGAAACCGGGAGUAAUACCGUAUGUGGUCUUUCAUUGUAGUGAUGGGGGACGAAAGAUUUAUCGCCAAAGGAUCGGCCCGCGUUGGAUUAGGUAGUUGGUGGGGUAACGGCCUACCAAGCCGACGAUCCAUAGCUGGUUUGAGAGGAUGAUCAGCCACACUGGGACUGAGACACGGCCCAGACUCCUACGGGAGGCAGCAGUGGGGAAUCUUAGACAAUGGGGGAAACCCUGAUCUAGCCAUGCCGCGUGAGCGAUGAAGGCCUUAGGGUUGUAAAGCUCUUUCAGGGGGGAAGAUAAUGACGGUACCCCCAGAAGAAGCCCCGGCUAACUCCGUGCCAGCAGCCGCGGUAAUUC